UCAGCCUACGGGAGGCAGCAGUGGGGGGGAAUAUUGCACAAUGGGCGCAAGCCUGAUGCAGCCAUGCCGCGUGUAUGAAGAAGGCCUCGGGUUGUAAAGUACUUUCAGCGGGGGGGAGGAAGGGAGUAAAGUUAAUACCUUUGCUCAUUGACGUUACCCGCAGAAGAAGCACCGGCUAACUCCGUGCCAGCAGCCGCGGUAAUMUGA
This 207-nucleotide non-coding RNA is filed under the name Brucella intermedia 229E. RNAcentral's name for it is "Ochrobactrum intermedium 229E Bacterial small subunit ribosomal RNA". It matches the Rfam family "Bacterial small subunit ribosomal RNA", at positions 331 to 528 of the family's 1533-position model. The record is from Rfam by way of RNAcentral. Lineage: Bacteria; Pseudomonadati; Pseudomonadota; Alphaproteobacteria; Hyphomicrobiales; Brucellaceae.